Molecule: transfer RNA, 88 nt
Filed under: Egicoccus halophilus
Lineage: Bacteria; Bacillati; Actinomycetota; Nitriliruptoria; Egicoccales; Egicoccaceae
Description: tRNA-Ser
Source: RNAcentral
UUGCGUUGGCCUGGUUCCAGGCCGAGAUCUCGAGGAUGCCGCGGGCGGCGUCCUGCGGCGACAGCCCGAGCUUGCCGGCCAGCGCCUC